AUCGCCUACGGGGGGCAGCAGUGAGGAAUAUUGGUCAAUGGACGAGAGUCUGAACCAGCCAAGUAGCGUGAAGGAUGACUGCCCUAUGGGUUGUAAACUUCUUUUAUAUGGGAAUAAAACGUUCCACGUGUGGGAUUUUGUAUGUACCAUAUGAAUAAGGAUCGGCUAACUCCGUGCCAGCAGCCGCGGUAAUACGGAGGAUCCGAGCGUUAUCCGGAUUUAUUGGGUUUAAAGGGAGCGUAGGUGGAUUGUUAAGUCAGUUGUGAAAGUUUGCGGCUCAACCGUAAAAUUGUAGUUGAAACUGG
Molecule: ribosomal RNA, 305 nt
Filed under: uncultured bacterium
Lineage: Bacteria
Description: bacterial SSU rRNA
Rfam family: Bacterial small subunit ribosomal RNA
Source: RNAcentral